This 253-nucleotide ribosomal RNA is filed under the name uncultured bacterium. RNAcentral describes it as "partial 16S ribosomal RNA". It matches the Rfam family "Bacterial small subunit ribosomal RNA", at positions 524 to 776 of the family's 1533-position model. The record is from RNAcentral.
UACGAAGGGUGCAAGCGUUACUCGGAAUCACUGGGCGUAAAGCGUGCGUAGGCGGUUGGUUAAGUCUGCUGUGAAAGCCCUGGGCUCAACCUGGGAACUGCAGUGAAUACUGGCCAGCUCGAGUGUGAUAGAGGAUGGUGGAAUUCCCGGUGUAGCGGUGAAAUGCGUAGAGAUCGGGAGGAACACCAGUGGCGAAGGCGGCCAUCUGGAUCAACACUGACGCUGAGGCACGAAAGCGUGGGGAGCAAACAGG